AUUGAACGCUGGCGGCAUGCCUUACACAUGCAAGUCGAACGGUAACGCGGGGCAACCUGGCGACGAGUGGCGAACGGGUGAGUAAUAUAUCGGAACGUGCCCAAUAGUGGGGGAUAGCCCGGCGAAAGCCGGAUUAAUACCGCAUACGACCUGAGGGUGAAAGCGGGGGAUCGCAAGACCUCGCGCUAUUGGAGCGGCCGAUAUCAGAUUAGGUAGUUGGUGGGGUAAAAGCCUAUCAAGCCUACGAUCUGUAGCUGGUCUGAGAGGACGACCAGCCACACUGGGACUGAGACACGGCCCAGACUCCUACGGGAGGCAGCAGUGGGGAAUUUUGGACAAUGGGCGCAAGCCUGAUCCAGCCAUGCCGCGUGCGGGAAGAA
RNAcentral lists this ribosomal RNA (380 nucleotides) under uncultured bacterium. RNAcentral's name for it is "bacterial SSU rRNA". It matches the Rfam family "Bacterial small subunit ribosomal RNA", at positions 29 to 412 of the family's 1533-position model. The record is from RNAcentral.